RNAcentral lists this unclassified non-coding RNA (377 nucleotides) under Hevea brasiliensis (rubber tree). The record is from RNAcentral. Lineage: Eukaryota; Viridiplantae; Streptophyta; Magnoliopsida; Malpighiales; Euphorbiaceae.
GCCCUUUUUUUUUUUUUGGGUCAAUAGUAGUAAUAAAAGUGGACCUCUCUUGUUGGACAUACAUCCUCUUAGUAUUUGAUCAUUUGUCAAAAUUUGACAUGCAGUUUUUUCAUCAGAGUCCUUAAGCAAAAUCAUGCGAUCUGCAGAUUUAUUUUCCCCUCGUGGAUAUCUAAUUUUGUGAUUUUUUUGCUAUUAGCAAAAGGAUAAACAAAAUAAACUAAAAAUCCUUUGGAACUGCUUUUACUCGAGUAUUGAUUUAACCUUUUACUGGGAUGCACUAUUGCGUUGACAUCAUUUUGCAACCUUAGUGUUUAAUAAAAUGUGUGCUUCCGGUGGUGAUCAUUUAUGCGAGUUUUUCAUUGGUGUUUUUGGCAGGU